This 253-nucleotide ribosomal RNA is filed under the name uncultured bacterium. RNAcentral describes it as "partial 16S ribosomal RNA". It matches the Rfam family "Bacterial small subunit ribosomal RNA", at positions 524 to 776 of the family's 1533-position model. The record is from RNAcentral.
UACGGGGGGGGCAAGCGUUGUUCGGAAUUACUGGGCGUAAAGGGUCUGUAGGUGGCUUGCUAAGUCAGACGUGAAAUCCCUCGGCUUAACCGGGGAACUGCGUCUGAUACUGGCGAGCUUGAGUGCAGGAGAGGAACGCGGAAUUCCAGGUGUAGCGGUGAAAUGCGUAGAUAUCUGGAGGAACACCGGUGGCGAAGGCGGCGUUCUGGACUGCAACUGACACUGAGACACGAAAGCGUGGGUAGCAAACAGG